CUGGCGGCGUGCCUAAUACAUGCAAGUGAAACGGGUAUCUUCGGAUACCAGUCGCGGACGGGUGAGUAAUACAUAGGCAACCUGCCUUUAUGAGGGGGAUAACCGAGGGAAACUUUGGCUAAUACCGCAUGAAGACUCUAAGGCAUCUUAGAGGGAUAAAAGUUGGGAAACAACGCAUGAAGAUGGGCUUAUGGCGCAUUAGCUAGUUGGUGAGAUAGAAGCCCACCAAGGUAAUGAUGCGUAGCCGACCUGAGAGGGUGAACGGCCACAUUGGGACUGAGACACGGCCCAAACUCCUACGGGAGGCAGCAGUAGGGAAUUUUCGGCAAUGGGGGGAACCCUGACCGAGCAACGCCGCGUGAAGGAAGAAGGUUUUCGGAUUGUAAACUUCUGUUAUAAGGGAAGAACGGAUUGGAUAGGGAAUGAUCUGAUAGUGACGGUACCUUAUUAGAAAGCCACGGCUAACUACGUGCCAGCAGCCGCGGUAAUACGUACGUGGCAAGCGUUAUCCGGAAUUAUUGGGCGUAAAGAGUGAGCAGGCGGUUUAUAAAGUUCGGAGUUAAAUACAGUUGCUUAACGACUGUUAGCUUUGAAAACUAAUAGACUAGAGUGCAGUAGAGGUUAGCGGAAUCCAUGUGUAGCGGUGAAAUGCGUAGAUAUAUGGAGGAACAUCAGUGGCGAAGGCGGCUAACUGGGCUGUAACUGACGCUCAUUCACGAAAGCGUGGGGAGCAAAUAGGAUUAGAUACCCUAGUAGUCCACGCCGUAAACAAUGAGUACUAAGUGUUGGGGGAACCCAGUGCUGAAGUAAACACAUUAAGUACUCCGCCUGAGAAGUACGUUCGCAAGAAUGAAACUUAAAGGAAUUGACGGGGGCCCGCACAAGCGGUGGAGCAUGUGGUUUAAUUCGACGCAACGCGAAGAACCUUACCAGGUCUUGACAUCCGACGCAAGACACAAGAGAUUGUGGGAUAGAUAUGGUCGAGACAGGUGGUGCAUGGUUGUCGUCAGCUCGUGUCGUGAGAUGUCUGGUUAAGUCCAGCAACGAGCGCAACCCUUGUCCUUAGUUACCAUCAUUAAGUUGGGGACUCUAAGGAGACUGCCGGUGUAAAUCGGAGGAAGGUGGGGAUGACGUCAAAUCAUCAUGCCCUUUAUGACCUGGGCUACACACGUGCUACAAUGGGUGAUACAAAGAGAAGCAAGACGGUAACGUGGAGCAAACCUCAAAAAAUCACUCCCAGUUCGGAUUGAAGUCUGCAACUCGACUUCAUGAAGAUGGAAUCGCUAGUAAUCGCGAAUCAGCAACGUCGCGGUGAUACGUUCCCGGGCCUUGUACACACCGCCCGUCAAACCAUGAGAGUUGGCAAUACCCGAAGUCAUGUAGGUAACCUGCAAAGGAGCCGCAUGC
RNAcentral lists this ribosomal RNA (1407 nucleotides) under uncultured bacterium. RNAcentral's name for it is "bacterial SSU rRNA". It matches the Rfam family "Bacterial small subunit ribosomal RNA". The record is from RNAcentral.